RNAcentral lists this transfer RNA (63 nucleotides) under Gnathostoma sp. MMS-2017. Its description in RNAcentral is "tRNA-Lys". The record is from RNAcentral. Lineage: Eukaryota; Metazoa; Nematoda; Chromadorea; Rhabditida; Gnathostomatidae.
GAGACGUUAACUUAAGUUUAAAGUAUUGAAUUUUUAAUUCAAGAAUGGAUAUACCACGUUUUG